Molecule: long non-coding RNA, 842 nt
Filed under: Heterocephalus glaber (naked mole-rat)
Lineage: Eukaryota; Metazoa; Chordata; Mammalia; Rodentia; Bathyergidae
Description: lncRNA (ENSHGLG00100050388.1)
Source: RNAcentral
CUUAGAAUCUGUAGGGCAUGGAGACUGCUCUGUGGCACAACUAGAGAAGGAGAGAUGUGGGGGACAGUUGGAAGAGUGGUAAAGCAGUAGAGGCAGAAUGCUCAUUUUGGUAAUCAAGGAGCACCAAAACAUAACAAAUGAAUUCUCCCCGAUACCUCCUAAGGAUGAUGACUUAGCACUCACUUUCUCUAGAAGUAAUGGCUACAGAGUUGAAGAGGGGCAGAUAAUCCAGGAUCUUCCCAGAAGAGACAUUCCCACAGCAGGCAGGCAAAAAUUUGCUUUUCUGAGUUCACAUCACAUGUGUGAGUAAAGCUAACGAAAGGGGGUGAGGUAUGUACAGCUGCAUUGGGAACAUGGCUAAUUCAAGGCAAACUCGUUUGGCUCAGAGGGAACAACCAGUUACUUCAGGCAAGCAGCAGAAGCCCACUUGUUAAUGAGGGUUGUUGGUGGUACGGUGGGAACAAGUACUCGGGCCAAGGAGAAUCAAGAUAAAGACUACCUCUCCCACUUGUUAGUAAGCUUUCCAGAUUUUGGAGAUCCAGAAAAGGAAAAGACAUGAUAAGAGAAGAUGCAUCCUGAACAACUUUUAUUAUGAAGAAGCUGAGGCUCUGACAAGUGCAGUUACUUUCACGAGGUGCACAGUUAAGAGGCAGCACUGCUGUGCUUCAUACUGACAGUGCUUGAUCUCUUCUCUUUUACAUUCUCCAUCCCCAGACACUUAACAUCUUUGGCUGGAUUUUCUAGGAGUUUCUUUGGGAUAUGCCAUUAGGUUUGUGAACAAAAUAAGUAUAAAAAUAAUUAUAAAUAUAUAUAUAUAUAUGCAUGUAUGUUGAAUCAGCUAA